GGGGGUAUAGCUCAGCUGGGAGAGCGUCUGACUGGCAGUCAGAAGGUCAGCGGUUCGAUCCCGCUUAUCUCCACCA
This 76-nucleotide transfer RNA is filed under the name Firmicutes bacterium HGW-Firmicutes-16. Its description in RNAcentral is "tRNA-Ala". It matches the Rfam family "tRNA". Rfam says of the family: Transfer RNA (tRNA) molecules are approximately 80 nucleotides in length. The record is from RNAcentral. Lineage: Bacteria; Bacillati; Bacillota. RNAcentral also lists the same sequence under 2 other names.